CAUGUGGGGCAAGCGUUGUUCGGAAUUACUGGGCAUAAAGGGUGCGUAGGUGGUUUGUUAAGUCAGGGGUAAAAUCCCGCGGCCCAACCGUGGAACUGCCUUUGGUACUGGCGAACUUGAGUGCGUGAGGGGUAGGGGGAACGAGCAGUGUAGCGGUGAAAUGCGUAGAUAUUGCUCGGAAGGCCAGAGCCGAAGGGGCCCUACUGGUGCGCAACUGACACUGAGGCACGAAAGCGUGGGGAGCAAACAGGAUUAGAUACCCUGGUAGUCCACGCCGUAAACUAUGAGCACUAGAUGGAUGCCGAGCUAUCGGUGUCUGUCGGAGGCAAUUUGGUAAGUGCUCCGCCUGGGGAGUAUGGUCGCAAGGCUG
This 370-nucleotide ribosomal RNA is filed under the name uncultured organism. RNAcentral's name for it is "bacterial SSU rRNA". It matches the Rfam family "Bacterial small subunit ribosomal RNA", at positions 526 to 896 of the family's 1533-position model. The record is from RNAcentral.